AGGGGCGCCUGGGAAAUAUCCUGUGCGCGUCUCUAUUAUGAUCGAGUGUAAAUGAGGGCCGCCGGCAGGCUGGAAACUAGCUACUGCGGUAGCAGUUGCUCUCUGAAGCCGCAAGGUAGGGGCGAUCGGCUGCCGCUGCCAGGAGAGCGGACGAUGCGGAGAUCCCUGAGCAAUCAUCUAAGAAGUCUGAUCACCUGAAUAGACCACAUGGAGAGACUGUGGGAGCACAUGAAGAGAGGUGGGCAGGGGGAACCCAGCUGCAUCCAACAAUCCAGAAAUCCCUAUCAAGAUGCUAGACAUGAAGGAAACCAUCUUGGAUCCACCAGAUCAACCUAGCCACCAGCUGGAUACCACUGAGAGAUGCCAGUGGAGCAGAAUUGUCCAAUAAGCCUUGCCCAAAUUUCUCACCCACACAAUCAUGAGUAUAAUAAAAUGAUUAUUGUUUUCAGCC
RNAcentral lists this long non-coding RNA (451 nucleotides) under Sus scrofa (pig). RNAcentral's name for it is "lncRNA (ENSSSCG00015064282.1, ENSSSCG00030005933.1, ENSSSCG00040002126.1, ENSSSCG00050058632.1)". The record is from RNAcentral. Lineage: Eukaryota; Metazoa; Chordata; Mammalia; Artiodactyla; Suidae.